Non-coding RNA from Schizosaccharomyces pombe (fission yeast), 1955 nucleotides. The record is from the annotation of a GenBank genome assembly. NCBI's taxonomy places the organism in Eukaryota, Fungi, Ascomycota, Schizosaccharomycetes, Schizosaccharomycetales, Schizosaccharomycetaceae.
UGGAAACUAUUCUGUUUUGCAAAAUACGAUCUGUGAUGUCCAUUAAUCGGUAAUAAAUUAGAAAAGUUCGUCAAAAAGUUGUAAACAACCAGUCGUAACUCCAGCUUAUAAACCACAGAAAGUAAAAGACAAAAUUGCAGCAACCUGUAAAUUUUUUUUAUUAAUGACAGAAAAAAUGUCUAAAAGCGACAGUUCUCAAUUUUCAGUUACGUUGUUGCAAUGGUAAAAGAUAUACUAGGUUAUGCGAAAUUGGUACACUAGAAUUGAGUUCGUGAAGCAACUGGUUAGCCCAUAAUACUGACGUCCAUAAUCUUGCGAUCCAAGCUUUCGACAGUCGAUAAUGGGAAAAGGUUUUCUUAUUUUUUUUAUUUUAUUGACUUGAACUGCUUUUUUUUUUUUUUUUUUUUUUCCCAAGAUAUUGCUUUACUAAAAAUUGACUUCCCAAAUAGUAAUAAAAGGCUAUGAUCCUAUUUCUUAAUUACAUAUUAUGAAAGUAUGAUUUAUUAGGACUUUCUAUAAAAUUUUUAGGUAAGGUUUUUUCAUAAAGGACUUCAUGAAUUUGAUUUUAAAUCAUGUCUUCUAACAGACAUAUGGAAUCAGCAAAAAUAAAUAAAUAGUAGCUUCCAUGGAUUUAAGACAAAUAAUUUACAAUAACUAAGCAGCAAUUGCUAAUUCCAGGUGACUAAUAUACUACCCUAAAGACUCAAAAAAAUGAAGCACUAAGGCUUUCUAAACUAAAGGAUUUGAAAUGUGAAUGUUUGAUGGAAUAGAUAUGAUUAACGCCUUUGGAAUUCUUUAGCUUGUCUUCAUUUUUCAAAGGUAAUUCCAACAAAUAGAAGUUUCAACUCAAAACAAACACCGAUCACCAAACAAAUACAUAAUAAAUGACUCUGAGAUUUUGGAUCGAUGGAGUGAAUAAAUUUUUAUUUCAAUAAUUACGCAGAGCCAUAUUGAUGACAUUUCUCUAAGAAGAAGCGAACAUCAUCUGGAUUGACACCAGGUGUAAUACCAUGACCCAAAUUAAUAAUAUAGCCUUGUUUUCCGCCUCCAAAAUCUUGGAUCAUUUCCUUGGUACGGGCUUCAAUAAUUUCGCGUGUGCCAUAUAAAAUGUUAGGAUCCAAGUUACCUUGGAAUGUAACACGACGAUUACCUCGAAUACGGACAGCCUCUUUGGGACUGACCGUCCAGUCUAAACCAAUAACAUCGUAACCUGAAUCACACAAUUGGUCAAUUGCAUACCAAGCACCUUUUGCAAAAACAAUCAUAGGAACCUCGUCUCGUUUCUUUUUCUUCAAGUGUUGCUUAACUUCUUGACAUAUUCGCACCAGAUAAGGGUAUGCAUACUCCGUAAAGUCUUCGGGGGAUAAUUCACCAGCCCAGGAAUCAAAAAUUUGAAGUAGCUAUAUAUUAUUUGAAUUAGUAUAGAAAAUAAUCAGAGUUAACUCAUACCUGUGCUCCAGCGUAUACUUGCUGUAUCAGAUAUGAAACCGUGGCAUCGGUAAUGAUUUUAAGAAGCUUGUGGGAAGCCUCGGGGUACCGAAAAAGCCAAGAUUUAGCUUUUGCAAAAGUUUUGGAGCCACCUCCUUCAAUCAUGUAGGCCAUAAUAGUCCAAGGAGCACCAGAAAAUCCCAUCAAAGGGACCUGUCCAUCUAAUUUUUCGCGAGUCAAAGAAAUUGCAUCCAUUACAUAUCCCAAUUUAGCCGAGAUGUUGGGAGUUUUUUCUAAAAGGUCAAUAUCUUCAGGCACAACCAGAGGUUUAGGAAAAUGCGGCCCUUUUUGCUCAAGCAUAACCACUUGCAUCCCUAAUGCUUGAGGGAUCACUAAAAUGUCACUAAAAAUAAUUGCUGCGUCAAGCAGACCUUUAAAGCGGGUGACUGGCUGAAGUGUUAGCUCACACGCCGUUUCAGGUGUUUGACACAUCUCAAAAAAGCUUUGUUUAGCACGAAGCUUAUGAU